This 506-nucleotide ribosomal RNA is filed under the name uncultured Chitinophagaceae bacterium. RNAcentral describes it as "partial 16S ribosomal RNA". The record is from RNAcentral. Lineage: Bacteria; Pseudomonadati; Bacteroidota; Chitinophagia; Chitinophagales; Chitinophagaceae.
CACGGAGUUAGCCGGUGCUUAUUCCUAGGGUACCGUCAAGUGAGAAAGAAUUCCCUUUUUUCGUCCCCUAUAAAAGAAGUUUACAACCCAGAGGGCCUUCAUCCUUCACGCGGCAUGGCUGGUUCAGACUUUCGUCCAUUGACCAAUAUUCCUUACUGCUGCCUCCCGUAGGAGUCGGGCCCGUGUCUCAGUGCCCGUGUGACUGGUCGUGCUCUCACACCAGUUACUGAUCGUUGGCUUGGUAGGCCCGUUACCCUACCAACUACCUAAUCAGGCGCACGCCCAUCCAAAACCGCCGGAGCUAUAAUAAUAGAGUGAUGCCACUCCAUUAUCUUACGGUGUAUUAAUCCUCCUUUCGGAGGGCUAUUCACCAGUUUUGGGAAAGUUGCGUACGUGUUCCGCACCCGUUUGCCGGUCGCCAGCGAGUAUUGCUACCCCUGCUGCCCCUCGACUUGCAUGUAUUAAGCCUGCCGCUAGCGUUCAUCCUGACGCCAGGAUCAAACUCU